UACAGAGGGGGCAAGCGUUGUUCGGAAUUACUGGGCGUAAAGGGCGCGUAGGCGGCCUGCUAAGUCGAACGUGAAAUCCCCGGGCUCAACCCGGGAACUGCGUCCGAUACUGGCGGGCUCGAAUCCGGGAGAGGGAUGUGGAAUUCCAGGUGUAGCGGUGAAAUGCGUAGAUAUCUGGAGGAACACCGGUGGCGAAGGCGGCAUCCUGGACCGGUAUUGACGCUGAGGCGCGAAAGCCAGGGGAGCAAACGGG
RNAcentral lists this ribosomal RNA (253 nucleotides) under uncultured bacterium. Its description in RNAcentral is "partial 16S ribosomal RNA". It matches the Rfam family "Bacterial small subunit ribosomal RNA", at positions 524 to 776 of the family's 1533-position model. The record is from RNAcentral.